UGUAAUCUAAGGGGUUAUAGUGAAUUCCCAAGUGAGACUUGGGGAGUGGACGUAGGAGCAAGGGUUAGCUCCGAACCACUAUAAAAUCCUUGUAUUUGUGAUUGUUUGUCUCUUUUCUUUACUCUCAUUUCAUUCACAGCACAUAGCAAUUAAUUAAUCAUCUGGGUAAAGCAUUAAUUAGUCAUCCACAACAUUUUAAAUAGCUAAAUUCUUUUAAAACCCAAUU
This 226-nucleotide long non-coding RNA is filed under the name Phoenix dactylifera (date palm). RNAcentral describes it as "long non-coding RNA (PDAC_LNC020062)". The record is from RNAcentral. Lineage: Eukaryota; Viridiplantae; Streptophyta; Magnoliopsida; Arecales; Arecaceae.